UGUAUGUGUAUGUGUAUCUAUAUGUUUCCUUCUUUUGCUUAUUAAUAUAAG
RNAcentral lists this transfer RNA (51 nucleotides) under Entamoeba histolytica. RNAcentral describes it as "tRNA-His". The record is from RNAcentral. Lineage: Eukaryota; Evosea; Mastigamoebida; Endamoebidae.